GUUCUAGAAUUAAAAAAGUUUGGCGGUAAUUUAGUCUAAUUAGAGGAACCUGUAGAAUAAAUGAUAAUCCACAAAUAUCUUACUUAAGUUGGUAUAAUCAAUUUAUAUAUCGCCGUUUAGAUUUAUUUAAAAGGAUUAUAUCAAGAAAAAUUAAUUUUGAAAUUCAGGUCAAGGUGUAGUUUAUAUUUAAGUUCUUAUGGGUUACAAUAAGUGAAUUAUAGAAUGGAUGUUAAUUGAAAAAUUUAAUAUGAAGGUGGAUUUAAUUGUAAAUAUCCAUUAUAAAGGGAUGUUGAAUGAGCACUGAAUUAUGC
This 311-nucleotide ribosomal RNA is filed under the name Scolopocryptops melanostomus. Its description in RNAcentral is "partial 12S ribosomal RNA". The record is from RNAcentral. Lineage: Eukaryota; Metazoa; Arthropoda; Chilopoda; Scolopendromorpha; Cryptopidae.